AGGGUUCGAUUCUGGCUCAGGAUUAACGCUGGCGGCAUGCCUAAUACAUGCAAGUCGAAUGGAAGAGCUUGCUUUCCAUGGCGAACGGGUGAGUAACACGUAGGUAACCUACCUUAAGGACGAGGAUAACCUUUGGAAACGAAGGAUAAUACUGGAUAGGACAUCAUAAAACACAUGUUUAGAUGUUUAAAGGAGCAAUCCACCAUAAGAGGGGCCUGCGGCGCAUUAGCUAGUUGGUGAGAUAAAGGCCCACCAAGGCGAUGAUGCGUAGCCGGACUGAGAGGUUGAACGGCCACAAUGGGACUGAGAACGGCCCAUACUCCUACGGGAGGCAGCAGUAGGGAAUUUUCGGCAAUGGACAAAAGUCUGACCGAGCAAUGCCCGCGUGAUCGAAGAAGUAUUUCGGUAUGUAAAGAUCUUUUAUCAGGGAAGAAAAGACAGAUUGACUGAACCUGAUGAAUAAGCUCCGGCUAACUACGUGCCAGCCGCCGC
Molecule: ribosomal RNA, 492 nt
Filed under: uncultured bacterium
Lineage: Bacteria
Description: bacterial SSU rRNA
Rfam family: Bacterial small subunit ribosomal RNA
Source: RNAcentral